Molecule: ribosomal RNA, 256 nt
Filed under: uncultured bacterium
Lineage: Bacteria
Description: partial 16S ribosomal RNA
Rfam family: Bacterial small subunit ribosomal RNA
Source: RNAcentral
UACGGAGGGGGGCUAGCGUUGUUCGGAAUUACUGGGCGUAAAGCGCACGUAGGCGGCUUUGCAAGUCAGAGGUGAAAGCCCGGGGCUCAACCCCCGGAAUUGCCUUUGAGACUGCAUCGCUAGAAUUGUGGAGAGGUAAGUGGAAUUCCGAGUGUAGAGGUGAAAUUCGUAGAUAUUCGGAAGAACACCAGUGGCGAAGGCGGACUUACUGGACACAUAUUGACGCUGAGGUGCGAAAGCGUGGGGAGCAAACAGG